CGAAAGCCUGACGGAGCAAGACCGCGUGGGGGAGGAAUGCCUUAGGGUUGUAAACCCCUUUUAUCUGGGAAGAACAAAAUGACGGUACCAAAGGAAUCAGCCUCGGCUAACUCCGUGCCAGCAGCCGCGGUAAUACGGAGGAGGCAAGCGUUAUCCGGAAUGAUUGGGCGUAAAGCGUCCGCAGGUGGCAAUGUAAGUCUGCUGUCAAAACCCAGGGCUCAACUACUGAAAGGCAGUAGAUACGGAAGGACGAGAGUGCGGUAGGGGCAGAGGGAAUUCCCGGUGUAGCGGUGAAAUGCGUAGAUUUCGGGAAGAACAUCGGUGGCGAAAGCGCUCUGCUGGGCCGCAACUGACACUCAGGGACGAAAGCUAGGGGAGCG
RNAcentral lists this ribosomal RNA (380 nucleotides) under uncultured cyanobacterium. RNAcentral's name for it is "bacterial SSU rRNA". It matches the Rfam family "Bacterial small subunit ribosomal RNA", at positions 376 to 770 of the family's 1533-position model. The record is from RNAcentral. Lineage: Bacteria; Bacillati; Cyanobacteriota.